AACGAACGCUGGCGGCAGGCUUAACACAUGCAAGUCGAACGGGCACCUUCGGGUGUCAGUGGCAGACGGGUGAGUAACGCGUGGGAACGUACCCUUCGGUUCGGAAUAACCCAGGGAAACUUGGGCUAAUACCGGAUACGUCCGUAAGGAGAAAGAUUUAUUGCCGAAGGAUCGGCCCGCGUCGGAUUAGCUAGUUGGUGGGGUAAUGGCCCACCAAGGCGACGAUCCGUAGCUGGUCUGAGAGGAUGAUCAGCCACACUGGGACUGAGACACGGCCCAGACUCCUACGGGAGGCAGCAGUGGGGAAUAUUGGACAAUGGGCGAAAGCCUGAUCCAGCCAUGCCGCGUGAGUGAAGAAGGCCUUAGGGUUGUAAAGCUCUUUCAGCGGGGAAGAUAAUGACGGUACCCGCAGAAGAAGUCCCGGCUAACUUCGUGCCAGCCG
Molecule: ribosomal RNA, 442 nt
Filed under: uncultured bacterium
Lineage: Bacteria
Description: bacterial SSU rRNA
Rfam family: Bacterial small subunit ribosomal RNA
Source: RNAcentral